Magnolia sinica is the source of this 525-nucleotide long non-coding RNA. RefSeq lists it as uncharacterized. Lineage: Eukaryota; Viridiplantae; Streptophyta; Magnoliopsida; Magnoliales; Magnoliaceae. The record is from RefSeq and is a predicted model, not a curated record. The transcript is spliced from 3 exons.
GAUAGACAUACAUUCAGAAAAAACUACCAAAGAGGGUGCCCUUCUUGUAGAAUCUAGAAGCAUGUAACUGAAGGUCUGACCUUGGGUCAAAUGUGCAGAUGAUGUAAUGAGCCAAAAGCCAGACGUUAAGUUGGUUAGUAGAUGGAUAGAAGAUCUUAUACACAGGGAGUACUUAGGGAGGGAGAAAGAUAAUCCUAGUGGAAUUAGAUACAUCGCUUGAAUUGUUAUCCAAAAUGGGCUCCACAUAAGUGUACAUAGUGAUUUUAUCAAGUGUUUUCAUCUCAAGAUUUAGGAUUUUGUGGAGAGCUCCAGGAUUUCCAUUGUAGCAGCUGCGGCAUUUCUUACUAAAUUAUACAAAGACUCUUGGUAUUAUUAGGAGUUAUGGAGGGAGUCAUGGUUCUCAAUCAUUUUCCAUGAAGUGUUGUUUGUUGAUAAUGUGGGUUUGAAGCUCAUCAUGUUGUUUGCAUGAUACCCAAUCUGUCCAUCACAUUCGCCACUACAUUUUCUUCUUAUAUCCCAAAACCA